GGCCGGUUAGCUCAGUCGGUUGAGCAUGGCGCUAGCAAUGCCAAGGUCGCGGAUUCAGUUCCUGUUCGGUCC
This 72-nucleotide transfer RNA is filed under the name Apaloderma vittatum (bar-tailed trogon). It matches the Rfam family "tRNA". From Rfam's summary of the family: Transfer RNA (tRNA) molecules are approximately 80 nucleotides in length. Their secondary structure includes four short double-helical elements and three loops (D, anti-codon, and T loops). The record is from Rfam by way of RNAcentral. Lineage: Eukaryota; Metazoa; Chordata; Aves; Trogoniformes; Trogonidae.